Long non-coding RNA from Kogia breviceps (pygmy sperm whale), 1421 nucleotides. RefSeq lists it as uncharacterized. Lineage: Eukaryota; Metazoa; Chordata; Mammalia; Artiodactyla; Physeteridae. The record is from RefSeq and is a predicted model, not a curated record.
UCACACGAUCUAGCUCUGUUUUAAGUGAAACUGAAGUCAUAUGCUAGAGAAAAAAAAUACAGCUGGUAUGCAAAAAGAGGCUUUUUAUUUACUUAUAUGACUUGUUCCUUCUUAGUUUCAACUGGUUCCCAAAGUAUCCCAAAGACAUGACCACUAAAUGUGUAGAAAAAUCACCAAGCUUUGGCCCUGCUCUUUCCACUCUUGCAUUCUUCUAUAAAGCUUUUUUCCUACAGGUCAGGGAUAACCUAAGUUCAAUGUUAUGAAACUCUCACUUUAGCUCCAUGUUAAGUCAGGAGAGCAAAAAAUCUUCACCUGUCUCUCUGAGCCAAAGUAUUUGAGGCUCAUUUGCUUAUAAAAGACACAUUUGUUGAAGGGCUACUGUAUGAUACAGCCUCUACUAGGUGCUAGAGGUUUGGAGAAGUCAGAAUCCCUAUCUUAGUGAACUCAAAGUCUUGUGUGGGGUGGUAAAUGAGCACUGACAAUUACCUGACAGGGAAGAGUGCUGUUAGACUAAAGCCCCAGGGGCUCAUGGGUUCACUGAAAGGGCACCAGAGUGAGGGGAGGGAGAUUGGGCAUGCAUCAAGGAAGGUUCCUAGAUCAAGUGCCACCUGAGCUGAGCCUUUAAUUAACCAGCAGGAAAGAAGGGUGGUGUUCCAACAUAGGGAGCAGAAUAUGCACAGGCAUCCACAGCUGCUUUUUCCUGCCACUUACCCAGAAACUUCCCUGCUUUACUCUUCCAAUAAAUAGCUUGUCUGGCCCUAAACCCCCAAUAUUCUUGAAGGGGGAAAGUGAAAUUUUUAAAUUUUAGAAAAACAUAUGACUAUGGAAACACAUUACUCUCUCCCAGUGCCUAAGACAGGGCCAAGCAAUGAGGAAGCCAGAAGCUUCAGCUUCACUGGGCUUAUGGUAAAUCUGCUUCUGCUCUGAACCCAGCCAUAUCUAAGGCUAGUUCAUCCUUUGAACCUCUCAGUUACACAAGCCUAUAAAUUUCUUUUGCAGUCAGAAUUAGUUUCUGUGGCUUGCAAUGUAAAGUCUUGACUAAUACACAGCGUGUCUUUGCAUGGAGGUGCUGUGGCUGCCUGUAGUAUGUGAAGCACCUGUAGUUUCACAAGUGUAAAGGAUCGGGAACCAGAGGAGCCCACUCUUUCAGGCAACCAACAGGCUUGGGCCAGGGACAAAAGUGGGGAGAAGACCUAAAAUUGAAAGGGCUGAACAGAAGUGCCAGCAAAGGAGUUCCAGAAGGAAAAACUGAAAGGAAGAGUGGAUAACCUAUACUUUAAAAAAGAAGAAAGAAAUGACUGAAGAUUUCUAAUCAAAACAUCAGAAUACCAUAUGUACUGAGCAAGAAAGAAAAACCACCAGAAUUACAAAGAGAAACUGACAACCCCACUCUCUGAGUGGGAGAUUUUAACAAUCAAACA